GUCCUUUCAUCCGGCGGUGCGAGUGCCUAUAUUCGCUCUGCCAGCUUGCUGGCUAUGGCGAUAAACGGUGCGUGGAAUAAGCGUUGUGGACCCGGGGGCGGUACCCGGCGCCUCCACCAUACUCCCCGAAGCGUCGGGGAACAUGGGGGCGAAACAGGCUCGACACGCGCGGUAAAGACACAUCUUUUGCCCGGCAUGGUUCCGCCGUUAUCGGGCCGUAUGAUAAGUGCCAACGACAAUCAGGCGCUCGCUGUCGCUGCAUAAGCGAUAAGCGCGGUACGGGGGGCACCGGGCAACAGAAGCCCCCCAACU
This 312-nucleotide transfer-messenger RNA is filed under the name Rhodospirillales bacterium 70-18. It matches the Rfam family "Alphaproteobacteria transfer-messenger RNA". Rfam says of the family: Bacterial tmRNA, also known as 10Sa RNA or SsrA, is named for its dual tRNA and mRNA-like properties. Its role is to liberate the mRNA from a stalled ribosome. The record is from RNAcentral. RNAcentral also lists the same sequence under 1 other name. Lineage: Bacteria; Pseudomonadati; Pseudomonadota; Alphaproteobacteria; Rhodospirillales.